Molecule: ribosomal RNA, 444 nt
Filed under: uncultured bacterium
Lineage: Bacteria
Description: SSU rRNA
Rfam family: Bacterial small subunit ribosomal RNA
Source: RNAcentral
AGAGCGAACGCUGGCGGCAUGCUUAACACAUGCAAGUCGCACGGGCACUUCGGUGUCAGUGGCGGACGGGUGAGUAACGCGUAGGUAUCUAUCCUUGGGUGGGGGACAACGGUUGGAAACGACUGCUAAUACCGCAUGAUAACUGAGGUUUAAAGGCGCAAGUCGCCUGAGGAGGAGCCUGCGUACGAUUAGCUAGUUGGUGGGUAAAGCCUACCAAGGCGACGAUCGUUAGCUGGUCUGAGAGGAUGAUCAGCCACAUUGGGACUGAGACACGGCCCAAACUCCUACGGGAGGCAGCAGUGGGGAAUAUUGGACAAUGGGCGAAAGCCUGAUCCAGCAAUGCCGCGUGUGUGAAGAAGGUCUUCGGAUUGUAAAGCACUUUCGACAGGGACGAUGAUGACGGUACCUGUAGAGAAGCCCGGCUAACUUCGUGCCAGCAGCCGC